Molecule: ribosomal RNA, 497 nt
Filed under: uncultured bacterium
Lineage: Bacteria
Description: partial 16S ribosomal RNA
Rfam family: Bacterial small subunit ribosomal RNA
Source: RNAcentral
GAUGAACGCUGGCGGCGUGCCUAAUACAUGCAAGUCGAGCGAACAGACGAGGAGCUUGCUCCUCUGACGUUAGCGGCGGAAGGGUGAGUAACACGUGGAUAACCUACCUAUAAGACUGGGAUAACUUCGGGAAACCGGAGCUAAUACCGGAUAAUAUAUUGAACCGCAUGGUUCAAUAGUGAAGGACGGCUUUGCUGUCACUUAUAGAUGGAUCCGCGCCGCAUUAGCUAGUUGGUAAGGUAACGGCUUACCAAGGCAACGAUGCGUAGCCGACCUGAGAGGGUGAUCGGCCACACUGGAACUGAGACAGGGUCCAGACUCCUACGGGAGGCAGCAGUAGGGAAUCUUCCGGAAUGGGCGAAAGCCUGACGGAGCAACGCCGCGUGAGUGAUGAAGGUCUUCGGAUCGUAAAACUCUGUUAUUAGGGAAGAACAAAUGUGUAAGUAACUAUGCACGUAUUGACGGUACCUAAUCAGAAAGCCACGGCUAACUACGUG